This 378-nucleotide non-coding RNA is filed under the name Pasteurellaceae bacterium I43. The record is from RNAcentral. Lineage: Bacteria; Pseudomonadati; Pseudomonadota; Gammaproteobacteria; Pasteurellales; Pasteurellaceae.
AGCCGGGUUCUGUCGUGGACAAUCAUUCCUCUAGGCGUACAUUUACAUAUACGCUCAAGCAACCUACCCGAACUCUCAGCGGGCCACCGAUUGAGUUCCUAUUUGGUCUUGCUACGAGUGGAGUUUACCCUGCUGUGGAAUGUUACCACCCACACGGUGCGCUCUUACCGCACCCUUUCACCCUUACCGACAAAGCCGGCGGUCUGCUCUCUGUUGCACUGGUCGUAGGCUCACGCCCCCCGGACGUUAUCCGGCACUCUGCCCUGUGUAGCCCGGACUUUCCUCCCCACACAACCCGGCUUAUAGAUUUAACGUGCCAUAAAAAACCAAUAUUCUAUUAGCAGAAUGUGCUUUUGUCAGCGAAGGCGAACCUCUUAC